Molecule: non-coding RNA, 707 nt
Organism: Miniopterus natalensis
Lineage: Eukaryota; Metazoa; Chordata; Mammalia; Chiroptera; Miniopteridae
Source: RefSeq, a predicted model, not a curated record
AGCACUGUGAUGUAGCAUGAGGCUGCUAUACGGUGACUUGAACACAAGCACUGUGAUACUGCGUCAGUCAGUCUGAUCCCUGGGAAGCAUCAUAUAUUCCAAUAUAUAAGAAACCAUGAAAUCAUAAACAUUUAAACAGCAGGAGGGAUAAAGUGAAGAAGCCGAAGACCUAUAGAAUGAACAAUCUAAAUGGCUCCCGAGUACAUUCCUAUGAAAUCUCUUCUAGGAAACAUCAAGGCACUCACAGCCACUCUGCCAGUCUUAUGACCUAGAAAGAUUCUAUUUUUUUUUUUUCUUGAAGUUUCAAAGAAGAAAGAAAGAUUAAAAUAGAAAGUGAAUUUCCAAACUGGUAUGAAUACUAAUCUGAGAUGACUGUCUCUGUUUUUUCCUCUCUGGACUAUGCCUCAUUUUAAAAUAUAUUUUUCAUUUUUCAGUCCUUUAUUGUUUAUUAAAUCCCAGCUAACUCCUAGACACUAUACUAUGCUUGGGAGUACAAAUCUGGAAAUGCCAUGUGCCUGCCCUCAAAGAACUCAAGUCUAGGAACUAGGCAAAAACAUGUACAUAACUAAUUGUACAGGCCUAGAACAAUCUGGAAAGUAAAAUAAUAGAAAUGUGUUCAAAAUUCUGGGGACCUCAGAAGAGGGCAUGUUUGCUUUUGCCCAGAAGAGUAGGUGGUAAGAAGGCAUCAGAAAGGGAUUCAGAGAGGU